RNAcentral lists this non-coding RNA (31 nucleotides) under Rattus norvegicus (Norway rat). The record is from RNAcentral. Lineage: Eukaryota; Metazoa; Chordata; Mammalia; Rodentia; Muridae.
UGGGCCUAUGUUCUUCCCUCUAUCAGCCUGC